UAAAUUUUAACUGACUGUAUAUGAGUGAAUAUUGAAAAAAGAAAGUAGAUAAGAGUUUGCAAUAAUAAAAAUUAAUAUUAUGAAAAGGCAAAAAAAAGUUAAAAAAAGAAUUAAAAAAUAUAUUUAUUCCAAAAAGAAGAUUGAGGAGAGAGAAUUUUUUAGUUUUUUUUUUAAAAAAUAAUUAUGUAAAUAAUUUACACGUAAUUUAUUGUUAUUAUUAUUAGUUGUCUAUUUAAUUUGAAUUUUGUUCUUAUUUAAAUUUAAAAUCGACUGAAGAGAAGAGAAUAAAUGGGCUGAGUUAAGAUACGAGUUUGGGGUGUUGGGCCGAAAAUUUAAAUGUUAGUAAUCUUGGGCCGCUGAGAGUGCAGAACUUAUGACCUGUUGGGUGAACACUUGGGCUAAAGUAAAAGGAAGGGUAGGACACUAGGGUUUGAGAGACGCCUCUCGGCGGCCUUCUCCCUUCCCCUCUCUUUCGCUGGCCACCGAGGGUUUCAUUUGGAGAAGGCGAAUUGACGGUGCAUAUUGACGGGUGAAAAGCGGGCGGGUGGGAAAUGAGGCAGACGCUUGUUGGGGGAACAGAAGGGGCGGAGGCGGAGGAUAUGGGAGGAGGACGCAGGUUGCUGAUGGAUUUGGGGCGUCCAUGGUUGAGCCGUGGGUGUUUUUUGAAGAUUGAAGGAACAAACCAGAGAUCUGAUCGGAGGAAGCAAGCCGGAUCGAUUAACAGGACGAUAAAUCCACUACUCCUGUCCGGACGAGCAAUUGAGUUGUCUUCACCCUCCAAAGAGCAUCUGUAUCAACCCACAUUUGUACUCUAUUUUACCUUGUCUUCAUAUUUAUCCUUUUGUAUUUCUCUCAAUUAAGCAAGCCAUCUUAGUUAAUUGGUACUACGACUUAUAAUUAUUUCCUGACUUAUCAAGUCAACCUGUUCUCUUUGUGGCUUUUUUUUAUUCUCCCCAUUCAUGGUAUUGUUUCUAUUACCAUUUCAAGGUGUGUUUCUUUCCCAGGAGUGGGCAUAUGCGAGAGCUGUCCACAGUGGCAGAAAAUGUGCGAAGAUUUUGUCACGGGUAACUGUUUUUAUUUCAUGUUGUCGCUGGCGAGGGACUCGACCCAGGCAUUGGCGUUGGGGGUCAGGAUGCCGAGUUUCCAGACAUCGGUCUUCGUAGUCGGUGAGGUAGUCCUUGAUUGAUAUUUCUUCAUGUCUAGUUGUUUAUAUGAUACUGAAUGAGCCCCUUCGCCCCAUUUUUGUAUUGAUAUCUGGCGUUGAGCUGCUUGGCCCUUCCAACAUAUACUAUGCAAGUAACAAAAUGGACCCUUAUUGAUGUGGUGCUGACAUCAUGUUAUAUUUCUUGUUGUAGGAAACUUUAUUGCUGUUGGGUCAAUGGAACAUGGGACCUUGAUAUUGUGGACGAAGUCCAGGCAUCUGCUACCUUAGGUGGUGUUGCUGAAAAGAAGAAAAAGGGGAAGAAGAUUAGAAAUAUAUUAAAUACAAGGAUGGCAGCCACAUAGAUUCAGUUCUUGGACUUGCCUGGAACAAGGAGUUUAGGUGUAAUAUUAAUCUUUUGCUAUCCACACUUGCAACACACGUUCGAUUCAAACUCGUGGAGGGUUAAUUGUCAAAGUAGGCAGUCGGGGGCACUACACAAAUCACAUUCUGCGAAUUGCACGAAUUACACUACUUACACGAAUCAAAGCCACUCUCUCUAGAACAACGUCCCAAGUUCUUUGCUGUGAAACUCCGCCUUGUUGGAUAUCGGAAGACUCGAGAUAUGGCUCAGUUGAAAGAGACUAACAAUGGGACAAGGACUGGGAGGUUUUCCAAAUCUCCAUCAACUGACCCCUAUGUGCUUGUUCUAGUCAUUGAUGACUUUAAGGUGGACUUCUGAUUCGAUGCACUAUUUGGAAACUUGGUUAACGAGCUGUUGCUAUGGCCAAUGGUCAUUUGAAUGCAGCAAAAGAAGCCCAAGUGCCAUGGAAUCUGUUUUUCCUGAAGUUGAUUUUCUAUUAUCUUUGUUUAAGAAUUCAUGUAUGCAGUUGUGUUAGUCUUAGGAAACAGAUUGAUCAGAAACUCUAGAAUGAUAAAACUGAAAUUUCUGCUCAAGACUCUAAGCAUCGGAAGACGCUUUCUGAGCUGGAAAAAUGUGUUGAUGGCUUGUUUGAUAGUUUUGCAAGGUUGGAUUCACGUAUAUAUAGUGUUGGCCAAACUGCUGCUAACGUAGGAGACCACCUGCAGGUAAAGAUGCUUAAAAAGGAACAUAAAAAGGCAGAAGAACAUGAAAAGGCAAAAGAUAGGGAUCCUAAUAAUCUCAUUUCCAGCACCAUCACAUCAUCAAUUCAGAGUUUUUCAGUGAUGUAAUUAACCGGGGAAGAAAUACCAUGUUUUUUUUAGUACAGGAAGAAAUGCAAUGUAAUUUGUUUUUGUUUUUUGAGGAAACCAUGUUAUUUUUUAUUUACGGAGAUGCCUGCCUGGUGGCAUUUGUUUCUUAUGUUUUGGGGGGCAGACCGGGAGGUGUCUAAAUAGGUUUUUCAGAUUUUUUUCAAUGUGGAGUAAAUUUGAUUUUGACCGUA
Molecule: RNA transcript, 2565 nt
Organism: Salvia miltiorrhiza (redroot sage)
Lineage: Eukaryota; Viridiplantae; Streptophyta; Magnoliopsida; Lamiales; Lamiaceae
Exons: 9
Source: RefSeq, a predicted model, not a curated record